Molecule: ribosomal RNA, 440 nt
Filed under: uncultured bacterium
Lineage: Bacteria
Description: partial 16S ribosomal RNA
Rfam family: Bacterial small subunit ribosomal RNA
Source: RNAcentral
CCUACGGGAGGCAGCAGUGGGGAAUAUUGCACAAUGGGGGAAACCCUGAUGCAGCGACGCCGCGUGAGCGAUGAAGUAUUUCGGUAUGUAAAGCUCUAUCAGCAGGGAAGAAGAUGACGGUACCUGACUAAGAAGCCCCGGCUAACUACGUGCCAGCAGCCGCGGUAAUACGGAGGGGGCAAGCGUUAUCCGGAGUUACUGGGUGGAAAGGGAGCGUAGACGGCGAUGAAAGCCAGAUGGGAAAGCCAGGGGCUCAACCCCGGGACUGCAUUUGGAGCUGUGUGGCUGGAGUGUCGGAGAGGCAGGCGGAAUUCCUAGUGUAGCGGUGAAAUGCGUAGAUAUUAGGAGGAACACCAGUGGCGAAGGCGGCCUGCUGGACGAUGACUGACGUUGAGGCUCGAAAGCGUGGGGAGCAAACAGGAUUAGAUACCCCGGUAGUC